This 495-nucleotide ribosomal RNA is filed under the name uncultured bacterium. RNAcentral's name for it is "partial 16S ribosomal RNA". It matches the Rfam family "Bacterial small subunit ribosomal RNA", at positions 28 to 507 of the family's 1533-position model. The record is from RNAcentral.
GAUGAACGCUGGCGGCGUGCCUAAUACAUGCAAGUAGAACGCUGAAGGAGGAGCUUGCUCUUCUGGAUGAGUUGCGAACGGGUGAGUAACGCGUAGGUAACCUGCCUGGUAGCGGGGGAUAACUAUUGGAAACGAUAGCUAAUACCGCAUGACAACAGUUAUUGCAUGAUAACAGUUUAAAAGGGGCAACUGCUCCACUACCAGAUGGACCUGCGUUGUAUUAGCUAGUUGGUGAGGUAACGGCUCACCAAGGCGACGAUACAUAGCCGACCUGAGAGGGUGAUCGGCCACACUGGGACUGAGACACGGCCCAGACUCCUACGGGAGGCAGCAGUAGGGAAUCUUCGGCAAUGGACGGAAGUCUGACCGAGCAACGCCGCGUGAGUGAAGAAGGUUUUCGGAUCGUAAAGCUCUGUUGUAAGAGAAGAACGAGUGUGAGAGUGGAAAGUUCACACUGUGACGGUAUCUUACCAGAAAGGGACGGCUAACUACGUG